UGAAGAUUGAACACAGUUGUGUAUGAUCUGCCACAGCCUUCUCUUGGGCAUCGGCACACCUCCCGUUCUGGCGCAUGAAUUUUCUUAUGCUGCUUAAGGUUUCUACUAUAUAAUUCAGAGAGUGUUAUCCCAUUAUCCUGCUAUGAAGAUCCUCAACAUUGUGACUACAAAGAUGUCAUCUCUUUUAUUAUUUUAUAAUUACAAAUAAAACCAAUGUUAACCUCUCUUGUCUACAA
Long non-coding RNA from Antechinus flavipes (yellow-footed antechinus), 236 nucleotides. RefSeq lists it as uncharacterized. The record is from RefSeq and is a predicted model, not a curated record. NCBI's taxonomy places the organism in Eukaryota, Metazoa, Chordata, Mammalia, Dasyuromorphia, Dasyuridae. The transcript has 2 exons.